CGGUGUCGCUGUGUGUGCGUGUGUUUGAGCAUUCAUGAGAUUGUGCUUUCUAUUUUGUUUUUUAACAUCCUUCCUGAUGGUGCUUGCUUUUGUGACGGCCACAAUACUUUGGACCGACUUCUUCAGGGAAUGGUCUGCGAUGAUGCCAUCAUCCUCUUCCUGGAUCACGUCUGCACUCAGACGCCGUGGGCUCCUGGGAACAAGGUGGGCUCUCUGUCCCUGUGGGCAUUAUGUAUCGCUGUCUCCACUGAGCAUACAGGUCCCCUGCCCACUCACACAGCUCUGGGAGAUCUUCUCGACGUGUAUUCUUGUCAGGAGCAUCGUUAGCAUGAAAAUGAGUUUUAAAAAUAUGUUCUCCUGGAGGCGAGAACCUGACCCUGAAGAGUUCUGCGCUGUGUUGAAGCCGGCUAAAUUGGGAGACGAGAAGUGACUUCGGAUCUGAGUAUAGAGCUCAGCUCGCAUAGUGAGUGCAACAAAAGGAAAUGAAACAUUUAACAAAUAAAUAUAAGUUGAAACAAAUACAAACAAAACAAAUUAACAAAACAAAAAUAAGGUCCGGAAGUAAAAAUAAAAAGAAAAACCCACCCACGCAGUAAUGCUGGGAAAGAGAAGAACCCAACAACUUGGAUAAAUAAAUAUUCUCUAGUUAAAUAUU
Phyllostomus hastatus (greater spear-nosed bat) is the source of this 655-nucleotide long non-coding RNA. RefSeq lists it as uncharacterized. The record is from RefSeq and is a predicted model, not a curated record. The transcript is spliced from 2 exons. Lineage: Eukaryota; Metazoa; Chordata; Mammalia; Chiroptera; Phyllostomidae.